Long non-coding RNA from Nematostella vectensis (starlet sea anemone), 1408 nucleotides. RefSeq lists it as uncharacterized. Lineage: Eukaryota; Metazoa; Cnidaria; Anthozoa; Actiniaria; Edwardsiidae. The transcript is spliced from 2 exons. The record is from RefSeq and is a predicted model, not a curated record.
GGAAGACUUCUACUUCUACUUUAUUACUUUUCAACACUUUCGUAUCAAGAAAAGAUGACAAAAUAUAUAUAAAUCUAAAUAUAUAAAUCUAAAUAUAAAUUAAUAAUAAAUAGGUAAUCCAUAAAUUCAGUCGGCUUACUAUAUACAAUAAAAAUUAAAAUAAAUUAUAAAAUAAGAUAAUACUUAAACAAUAAAAAUAGCAUGAUAAUAAAAAUUAGGCGAUGAACUUGUUUACGUUAUUACAAAAAGAUGAAUAACUAUUUUCUUCUCUAAGUUCAAUUGAUAAAUUGUUCCAAUCUUUGAUUGUUCUGGGAAAGAAACUAUAUAAAUAAUAAUCGUGACGUGCCUUAGGCUGUAUAAAUGUAUUACUUGAAUAACUUCGAGUAUGACGCAUUGAACGUUGAUAAUAAUUAGGUAUCGGCAAUGCAAUGCCAUUAUUUACUGAUAAAUAAAACAUUUUUACACGGUGAGCCUUUCUCCUCUCACUCAGCAGAUCCAAAGAAAGGGAUUGUCUCAUUAUUGUAACACUAGAGUUCCAGUCGUAAUCCCGCUUUAUGAAUCUCACCGCACGUCGCUGGACUGCUUCAAUCUUGUCCACUUGAUCCUGUCUAUAAGGGUCCCAUACAGCAGCUGCAUAUUCUAGAUGUGACCUUACAAGUGUAACAUAGGCUACACGCUUGGUGACCUCAGAACAUGAAUACAAGUUCCUUUUUAUGAAUCCAAGUGUUGAGUUAGCCUUGUUUACGAUCUUGUUUACUUGAAAAUUCCACCGUAAAUCAUCAGACAGCAAAACGCCCAGGGUUAAAAACCAUUUGCCAUCUUUCGGCCCAUAGCCCCACUCUGUCCAAGUCCCUCUGCAAGACUAGGGUAUCAUCGUCAUGUGUAAUUUGGUGGUACAGCAGGGCAUCAUCAGCAAAUAGCCUUAAAGUGCAUUCCAAGUUCUCCUGCAUGUCAUUAAUAAACAGGAGGAACAUCAAUGGACCAAGUACAGUGCCUUGCGGCACUCCUGAUGUUACGUCUACUGGUUUUGAUGAAACACCGUCCACUACGACUCUUUGUGUUCUAUUGGUGAGCCAUGACUUUAUCCAUGCUAGUGUUCUACCUUGAAUACCAUAAUACAGUAAUUUACUGAUCAAGCGACCAUGUGCGACCUUGUCAAAGGCCUUACUGAAGUCAAGUAUCAGCAUGUCUAUUUGACCACCGUUAUCCGUAUUUCGUGCCAGGUCUUCAACUGUUAAUAGAAGCUGGGUUUCGCAUGAAUGGUUUUUGCGAAACCCGUGUUGAUUUGCAAAUAGGAUAUUAUUAUUCUCAAGAUGCUCCAUUAUGUUCUUGUAGAUGACAUGUUCCAUAAGUUUGCAUAAUACUGUAGUUAAAGACACCGGUCUAUAAUUACAUGGGUCGUGCUUCA